AUCAUCACAUUUCACAGGCCACUGAGCAUGAGCAAACGUCACUUGCGCUUCGGGAACGAAGAAUCCGCGGCUUGUCGAAGCGCGAUUCUUUGUAAUAUACUGCCUAGAGUUUUUGUUUUAGCUGCCUGGGAGGUUAGACAAAUUUCUUAGGGGUCCACCAAUAAUGACAAAAUUGCUGCGAAAGAGGGAAGAGGAUUGCAGUAGAACUUAAUCGACAGCAGCUUCCCGUUCCAUGAUUCCACCGGGUAACACAUUGCCAAGGAACGUAUGAUAUUCCGACAAAAUGACGACUGUCUUACCGGCAUGGAAGUUAGAACUCAUAGAAAAGAAAAAGAGGAAGGAACAGGACCAUCGACAGAAGGUCGAGCAAGAGAAAUCCCGCAAAGUAUCUAUUCCAGAAUGGAAGCGGUCGCUGUUAGAGAAGAGGAAAGAGGCUGCGAGCGAUUCGCCGGAAACCAAGGAACACGGUAUGUCUGUCAACAGUGUUUUCGGACCAAGAAUUAUACGGAAGACAUCCCAAUUAAAUUUACCGGUCGCGAAUUCAAGCCAGAAACCUGCAGUUAGAGGCGAUUACGAAGAAAGCAAAACAAACAUAUUACAAGAUGUUAACACGGUUCGCGGUGGUUCUUUGUCUUCGAGCCCGGCGGAUGCGAAUAGUUGUGUUACCAAAGCUGUCGAAAUUCCGACAGAAGUUGAACACAAAUCAAACAAACUAAGCACUCGAAAAGAGAUCGAAGAUAACCGCGAAAGUUCUCGGCAAUCAGACGUCGCGGCGCUGAGAGAGGAGUCGAACGUAGCCUUGGAUAUUCAGCAGUCGGAGACAAAGCUUGACAACAAACAUAGCGCAAAGACACCAUCAGUUUUUAGCUAUCGACGAAUGUUUGAACAAUCGGAAACAGAAAGCAAGGAAACUAGUGAGCCGUGCAUCAUUAAAAACACACAAAGUAAAACUCAGGUAGAAAAUCACAAGAGCACUACAGAAAGUACAUUGCGCGCUGUGAGGAGCGAAUCAAAUCCAUCUUCUUCACAAUUGCAAAUUUCGAACAAAAGUUCUGCAGGCAAAGCGCAUUCAAUUCACUCUGAGAAAUCAACACGUUCGCACCCGGAUUCGAACCAGCAAAAUGUAUUCACUCCAAAACCUACGUUUGCUCCCAAACCGUACAAAAGUUUCGUCACUACACCCCCUUGGCUCAAAAAUACCUCACCAAAAAAUAUCACUUUCCAGAUUGGCCGCAAUUCUGUCCAAGAAGACGUUGUGGUAGCUAAUGUAAACACCGAGGUGCAGAGUGCUCCAAAGAAUUUUGACACCUCGGAAAAGAAAAGUUAUGUAAUAGAAUCUGGCGCCAAGGAAAUCAUAACAAAAACUAUUGAAAGUGACGACAAACAGAAAGUCAGUUUUAGUAAUGGCAAUGAUCCAAUACCAAGUGGUGAUGUUUUACAGAAAGAAGAAUCUGUGAAAAAAACUACAGAAGAAACAGUUCUACCAUCAGAAAAAACAGUACAGAAAUAUUCAGUUAUUAAGGAGACAGACUCUAAAGAGGAGCAGUUGACCUCAAAGUCUGACAAAGGUAGUGAGAGUCUGAAGUAUAUUGUGAUAGAUGGUAGAAACCAAGAAGAACCAACUUCUACCAUUGAGAAAAACAAAACUUCAGUUAGUGCAACUUCAGACAGUGUUUCUCAAGUACCUAAUGAAAGUACACAGCAUGAGGAAGGGGAGAACAUUCCCCAUCCAAGUUCUAUUGAAUCAUUGCGGAGUAAGUUUGGUUCCAUUGGGGGUUAUCGAAGGUGGACCUCUUCUGAAGAAAACAUUUUUCUCAAAGGGAGCCAGGCUGAGCAAAGUGAUCAGGUCGUUGUUAUACAUAGAUCUUCAGAGUUAAAGAGACCCCCUCCUCCUACAAAAAGAUGGUCAGCAGACAUUUUAAGUUUGACGUCGCACUCAACUGAUAAUAGUGAGACAUCAAAUUUGUCACCUACUAGUGAAACUAAGAACAUUCCAUCAACGGCCAACCAGCUCAAGAGACCCCCUCCUCCAGUGAAGAGAUGGACAGCAGAUGUUAUAAAUGUGAUGCCACGACAAACUGAUGACAUGUCAGAUUUGUCCCCAAGAAGUGACUCCGGUAAGAAUUCAAUGAUCUCACCAAGCAACAGCCUUAGCAGAGGAAGGUCAUCAUCUCUGUGUGACAUCAGAGAAGAGACAGGCCUAGACUACUUCCAGCACAAAUCAAAUGUUGCUCAGGGAAUAGAACACCGCGUGAACAAGCUGAUAAGAAAGAUGUCUGUCUCAGAGACCCAGCUGAGUGUUGAUGAUGAAGAGUCAGAUUCGACAAGUGAUGAUGACCCUCUUAGCGACCUAGACUUAAAACUAGCAGCAAACAAAGAGAAAGAUGUGCCUGCACCACCGCAAGAUGUCCAACCAGUGUUUGCGAGGAAGCAUAGUGUUUCAAGUGAAAUUGAACACAGGGUGACAGAACUGUUUCAUCGGCAAUUAUCUCAGCAGUCUGAUGCAGAUGCGGAUGAAUCAGAAGGAGAAAAAUCAUCAGAAAGUGAUGCAAAUAUUACUGUUGUCCAGGUAGUGGAUGAUGUUAAAGAGCCAAACCUGAAAACAGAGUCCUUGCCUGUGGUUAGUACCAAACUAGCAAUUGACUUUGAUUCUGCUCCUGUAAAAGACGAUUGUAAUGAGGAAUCUGGUCACAUUGUACCAGAGAGCAAGCCAGUAAGUGGGUCUGUUCAUAAACUGUCAGCACUGUUCGGAUCAAGUAUCUUGAAACCCAAGAAGAAAGACAAAAGUGUGAAUGAAGAAAAAACAAAAGACAAGGCCAGUAAGUCAUCUAAGUUCCAUUCUUCUGAUAGAUCAAACCAGAAGGGUUCAUCUGGAGAUGAUGGUAAAAAGUCUACUCUGUUCAGCAAGUCUCAGAAGUCAGAGGGAAAAUCUGCACAGAAGGACAAGCAACAGUCUAACACAAGCAUUUUUCCUUGGCUGAGAAAAAACGACAAGAAGGAGAGCAUAGGAGGAAAUAAAACAAAAGAACUUCUGGACAAAAAUCAAAAAAAUAGUAGUUCAAGUUCUCCUAACGAAGGUACCGACACUGUGUCAAUUGCUGCAUUUGGCUUGCAACCAGUGCACAAGCCUGUUAAAGUGGAGCAAAGAUUAUUUGGCAAUGUGAAGAUAAUAAGUAAUGCUAGUCAUGAGCAGACUCCACCAAAGGGAGUGUACCAUAAAACCAAACCAAGUGUCCAGAUUUUAGAGCCAGAAAAAGAGAAAAUACCAUCUAAGAAAGCAAAUGAGUCCAAAACAGACAAUAAAGGAACUGAAUCUCAGGUCCCAGCCAUUGUAACACAGUACUGGAAUGGAAAUGAGGAGAGUCGCAGUUCUGAAACAAGUGUGACUGAGUCAGUUCCAAUAACAUCAAUCGAUGAAGUGCCAGUAUCUGCGAUAGAUAUGCCUGAAUCUGGUGACAAUGAUGUCACUGUUUCUGUGAUUGAUGUUCCUGCCUCUCCAGAUAACCGCAGUGCAGGAAAGUUUGCAUUUUUCAAUGGCCACAAAGAAGACAUACCAAAUCCUGAUGAUGACAACGACGUGAGUGUGUCAGUUAUUGACUUGCCGUCGCCAGGCAGCGAGAAGAUAAGUGCCUUUCAAGAUGGUUACUUAGAAGCUGAUGAGUUAUCAGAUGGAAGUGAUACCGAUGAAGUUGAGGGAAGCUACAAUUUUGCCACUGGAGAAAUUACCCAUGUAGUAAAUGGUGACAUUACUCAGGAUGAUGAGGACGAUGAGGAUGAUGAUGACGAUGAAGAUGAGGAUGAUGAUUAUGACGAUGAGGAUGUACCCAUAUCAUACAUAGGAUCAGCCCCUCAAUUUCCUGUCCCAUACGUUGUCUUUGAUUCAGAGCCUGUACAGUUGAAGUCAUGUUUGAGCCCAAAGAUAGAAAGAAAGAAGAUGAACAAAGGAAAAGUUUCUUUCAAGAGCUCACAUACAGUCCAUGACUAUCCAUCAGAGGAAACUGUAACAGCUGCUUAUGAUGAGUAUCACAAAGACAACAAUGUGCAACUGAAAACCUUGCAGAAUUACCAACCAGCUGGCCUGGUCAAUAUGGAAAAGAAUCUUGCACGUGUUGGUGGACAUGAACAAAGGUCGAUAACACCAUCAGCGCCUGUUACCAAUGGUGAUAAAAACUCCCAUGAUAUGCCUGCAAGUAAGAGUCUUCCGGAAAUAAAGUAUGCAGAUGAGGGGCAGGGCUUUACAGAUGCUACAGACAAUGCAAGCGCUCUAUUGUUUUAACUCUUCAGGAUUAUGGUAAUACCGUGUUACUUUCAAAAUAUUUCCCUUGAUUUAGAGAGAAAACAAAACAAUGCUGUGACAAGGAUUUCUGCCCAAAAAAGCUUUCAAUUAACUAGUCAGGCCACACACUGUGUUUGCCUAUUUGAAUUCAAUGAAUUGAUCUUAGGUUUCAUAUCAAACUUCGCAGCCGAUUCAAAGUGGUAAAUAUCGGGAAAAUAGUUGGCAGCCCAAAUGGUGCUGUACUAGGACUGCCAUUGUAGUAACAAGGCAGUUAAAACCAACCGUUUGUCUCUUAUCAGCUUCUUCUUUACACAAAGGAACUCUUUGGUGCUCAGGUUCUUGUAGGUACUAGUAAUUGUCUUCUAACUUUAACAUUGAUAUAGCAAAAUGUACUUUGUGAACAAGUAUUUAUGAAAACCAGCCUACAACAUUGGAGUUGUAAUAAUUAAAAACAUGUUUCUACAGUUCUAGGUUUUGUUCUUUAGCAAAACAGGGGGGGGGGGCAUGCUGAUUUUAUGCAUACAUUUAUGAUUCAUAGUAAGAUACAUAGUAUUGUAUAUGCUACAGAUGAAACGGAAAGAAAAUUCAAUAGCUAAUUGUACAGUGGUGUUAUUUUUCUUUUGCAUUUAAACCAGAUCAGGGAUUAUACAUAGUUUUUGUGAAGAAGAGUGACUUUGUAAUAAUUUAUUCCAAAGUAACUACAGUUGUACAAUAAUUAUUAUUGUGCCCUACUGACACUGCAGUUAUUCUUUAAUGCUGGUCAUUGCGAUAAUCUUUUAUCAGGACACAGGGUACUUUUAUCCAGAUGGAGUACACAGGCCUGUACGCACUUGACUUAAGACAGCUCAAAUAUUAUACAAUGCAACAUUCUUUGCUGUCUCAAAAAGUGUGAUCAGGUUUAAUUAUUAUUUUGACUUGGAACUGCACUAUACAUUAAACUAAUUGAAUAUGUUGGUGCAGAAAAUUGAGCUCUUACAAUAGUCACUAAUAUUAUGUGUUUUGAGGACUUUGCAAAGGGCAGUUGAUGCCAAGCUACUGGCGGCAGAUAUAUUUUUUUCAAUAGAGUUCUUACAUAAAUUACACCAAGAGGGUGACAAUACCUUGCUUUUGAAUCACAAAGAAAUAGUGUACAUUAUUCAGGUACAUGUAUCACAAAGAAUAUCAAAUUUAGUUCCAUGUUCAAGAGCCAUGUUAAGCCAGUGUGUUACAUGUGCACUUAUCAUGUGGGUCGUCAUAGCCUAAAACAAAUGAAACAAAAUAUUUUUUUGGUGCAAAAACAAGUUUUACUUUUGAAGAUCUGUUGUUUUGCCAGGUCACCAAAUGAUUUCACAUCUCCUGAGACAAGUAAUUACUUUAAUUGAUGUGAAGUGUACUGUUCAAGUUACACAUUGGUUGAACAUCAUUGGCCACUUACACCUAGACGAAUAAUUAAUCAUCAUAAACAUUUCUGAGACCUUUAAGUUACCAACUAAAUUUAACUCCUGAACAUCCAUUGUCUAAGGGAGACCAUUUUUUGAGGAAUUGCAACUAAAUAAGGAUGUUUGAAACUUUGAAGCACUUCACGCUUUGUUCUUCACUCGUAAUAUAAUGGGUUGAAGAGAUCUCUGGAGAAAUGUUUAAUUUUAUGAUACCAUUGAGAUGUCUGUAUGAUGUAAUAAUUACUAGGGGUAGGUAGCAAUGAAAGAAUUAAUCAAUAAGGUCGAAGGAAAGAAGUGACCUUAAGAUGGUGUAAAUAGUACAAAUUCAAGUCAGUUCUCUGCAUUUUUUUAACACUUGAAAGUGUGUGUGGUUUUAAGCUUUAUUAUUAUUUUUGGAUAAACUUUCAAGUGAUGUAUAGCUGUUCAAAUGCUAAUAAAUGACUGUUAUGACUUAAA
This 6150-nucleotide unclassified non-coding RNA is filed under the name Orbicella faveolata. RNAcentral's name for it is "dentin sialophosphoprotein-like, transcript variant X1". The record is from RNAcentral. Lineage: Eukaryota; Metazoa; Cnidaria; Anthozoa; Scleractinia; Merulinidae.